RNAcentral lists this ribosomal RNA (450 nucleotides) under uncultured bacterium. RNAcentral describes it as "partial 16S ribosomal RNA". It matches the Rfam family "Bacterial small subunit ribosomal RNA", at positions 338 to 795 of the family's 1533-position model. The record is from RNAcentral.
CCUACGGGGGGCUGCAGUGAGGAAUAUUGGUCAAUGGGCGUAAGCCUGAACCAGCCAUCCCGCGUGCAGGAAGAAGGCGCUAUGCGUCGUAAACUGCUUUUCCAGGGGAAGAAAACCCUCGACGUGUCGGGGCUUGCCGGUACCCUGGGAAUAAGCAUCGGCUAACUCCGUGCCAGCAGCCGCGGUAAUACGGAGGAUGCGGGCGUUAUCCGGAUUUAUUGGGUUUAAAGGGUAUUAAGGCGGAUGAAUAGAAAACCUUCAGCUUAACUGGAGACUUGCCAUUGAUACUGUUAGUCUUGAGUACGGUCAAGGUAGGCGGAAUGUGUAAUGUAGCGGUGAAAUGCUUAGAUAUUACACAGAACACCGAUUGCGAAGGCAGCUUACUGGGCCAUUACUGACGCUGAGGCACGAAAGCGUGGGGAGCGAACAGGAUUAGAUACCCCAGUAGUC